UUUGAUCAUGGCUCAGAUUGAACUGGCGGGAUGCUUUACACAUGCAAGUCGAACGGCAGCACGGACUUCGGUCUGGUGGCAGUGGUGGUGGUGAGUAAUGUAUCAGACGUGCCUAGUAGCGGGGGAUAACUACCUUGAAAGCGUAUGUACCGCAUACGCCCUUCGAAGCGGGAGACCUUCGGGCCUCGCACUAUUAGGAAGCGGCCGAUAUCGAGUUAGCUAGUUGGUGGGGUAACGGCUCACCAAGGCGACGAUCCGUAGCUGGUUUGAGAGGACGACCAGCCACACUGGGACGAGACACGGCCCAGACUCCCUGCAGGGGCAGCAGUGGGGGAAUUUUGGACAAUGGGGAAACCCUGAUCCAGCCAUCCGCGUGUGCGAUGAAGGCCUUCGGGUUGUAAGCACUUUUUGGCAGGAAGAAACGGCUUGCAGGAUAAUACCCCGUGCAACUGACGGUACCUGCAGAAUAAGCACCGGCUAACUACGUGCCAGCAGCCGCGGUAAUACGUAGGGUGCGGCGUUAAUCGGAAUUACUGGGCGUAAAGCGUGCGCAGGCGGUUCGGAAAGAAAGAUGUGAAAUCCAGAGCUUAGCUUUGGAACUGCAUUUUUAACUACAAAUAGGUGUGUCAGAAGUGGAAUUCCGCGUGUAGCAGUGAAAUGCGUAGAUAUGCGGAGGAACACCGAUAGCGAGCGGCCUCCUGGGAUAUUUCUGACGCUCAUGCACGAAAGCCGAUGAGGGCAAACAGGAUUGGAUGCCACAGUCCACGCCCUAAACGUCAACUGGCUGUUGGGGCCUUCAGACUUGGUAGCGCAAUAUAACGCGUGAAGUUGACCGCCUGGGAAAUUACAGUGCCAAGAUUAAAACUCAAAAGGAAUUGACGAGGACCCACAAGCAGUGGAUGAUGUGGAUUAAUUCGAUGCAACGCGAAAAACCUUACCUACCCUUGACAUGUCUGGAAUCCGAAGAGAUUUGGGAGUGCUCGCAAGAGAACCGGAACAGGUGCUGCAUAGCUGUCGUCAGCUCGUGUCGUGAGAUGUUGGGUUAAGUCCACGCAACAGCGCAACCCUUGUCCAUUAGUUGCUACAGAAAGGGCACUCCUGAGACUGCCAGUGACAAACCGGAGGAAGGUGAGGAUGACGUCAAGUCCUCAUGGCCCUUAUGGGUAGGGCUUCACACGUCAUGCAAUGGUCGGGACAGAGGGUCGCCAACCCGCGAGGGGAACAAUCCCAGAAACCCGAUCGUAGUCCGGAUCGCAGUCACGAAAACUCGACUGCGUGAAGUCCGUCUAGUAAUGCGCGGAUCAGCAUGUCGCGGUGAAUGCGAUUCGGGUCUUGUACACCGCCCGUCACACCAUGGGAGUGGGUUUUACCAGUAGUUAGCCUAACCGUAAGGAGGGCGAUUACCACGGUAGGAUUCAUGACUGGGGUGAAGUCGUAUCUAAGGUAG
Molecule: ribosomal RNA, 1447 nt
Filed under: uncultured Bordetella sp.
Lineage: Bacteria; Pseudomonadati; Pseudomonadota; Betaproteobacteria; Burkholderiales; Alcaligenaceae
Description: partial 16S-23S ribosomal RNA intergenic spacer
Rfam family: Bacterial small subunit ribosomal RNA
Source: RNAcentral